Molecule: long non-coding RNA, 1264 nt
Filed under: Capsicum annuum
Lineage: Eukaryota; Viridiplantae; Streptophyta; Magnoliopsida; Solanales; Solanaceae
Description: long non-coding RNA (CANN_LNC012803)
Source: RNAcentral
UCCAGUAGAAUACGUGCUUCGAGCAGUGCACAUAUGGGAUGUAUCAUGUGUAUGUAUUUGUCCUUAUCUUAAACGUGUUUUAAGCAGUUCAUCAUAGAUAUGCACCCACUUCUACCUCAAACUCUCUUUGCUCCUUUUUAUAUAUUGCAUUUAUUGUAAGUAGGCUUGUUAUUGCAUUCCAGUCAUUCUUUUCUUUGAACCUCUCCGUGUGUCCUGUUUUUCAUAAUGAAAUAUGCUUGCUUUCUCCGUUUCCUCUACUGCUAGUUAUUAUCAAAUUCCACCACCAAUAAUCAUAGUUCUUUGGGAGCCAAGGUCUCCCACCCAACAAAUAAGAUACUGACCCAACACUUAUUGUCAAUCUUAAAUGUAGGCGCUUUUGACCAUAUACGAGGUGAGAAUGUAUUCUUCUCCAAGAAGAGUUAUUAAAGCGCGCAUCAAAAACUUGGUCAAUGACUUCAGUUCUCCUAAGCUAAACCCUCAGGUUCUAAACUUGGUUUGUCAAAUCAACAGACGUCCUCUCACUUAAACAUGUUAAUCAAAAUUUGUAAGAGAAGUUCCGUCAGGAGAUGUCUCCUUUCCACCUUUAGUUGUUCCAAGGAUAUCAAGAACGGAAAACAUAUGUGUAAGUGAAAAUGUAGCAAUAAGUUUUUUCUCUACUUCCAAAUUUUCCUAGACGAACGUCAUCCUAUAUGAAGGAAAGAGUACAUGUCGUCCAGGGUUGCUGGUCCCCGGAAGAUGAAGGAUCGGAUAUUCCAUUUAAGCUCAUAUAUACAUGAAAAUCAUUUAUGUCUAGCUUUCCGGACAAGGCGAUCCAACUACAAAGGUCUGUAAUGCAUUAGCUUUAAUAAGCACCCUAGUUUCAUUGCUGCGGAAAGGAUGAGCCAGUGCCCAGGACGGAAAGCUCUACAUAAAUGUCAAUCACACAUGAGCUUAAAUAACAAAUCAAUUUGAUGCUUCUGGGUCAUAUGAGUCAAUGCUCAUCACUUGUAGGAAUGUCCAGUCUUUCAUCUUCUGAGGACCAGCAACUUUGAACGGCAUGUUUUCUUCAGGUCAGAUAGGGAGAAGUUCUUCCAGGAAGAUUUGAAGUGGCAGAGAUCUGUUGCUACAUUUUGUUGAAGUAUUAAGUUAUUUGCUCUUAUUUUUCAUUUUAGUUUAGUAAUUUUAUUUUUGAAAUUCAGUUAUUUAAGUUGAUAUAGAAUAGGAUUUAUUAGUAUCCUAAUCGAAGGUGACUAGGAUUUUAUUAGUUUCCUAAUUAGAAAUAGAA